CUGAAACUCCUGGAAUUCCAGAGCCGUGACAUUCCCAGAUUUCCUUUUCUGGGUGGGAGUUUUCCUCUUUUAGCUCAACUUUUCCCUCCUUUUUGGGCUGGAAUUCCCAAGUUUAUUUUGGAUUUUCCCUCAUUUUAACUUGGAUUUCCCCAAGGUUUUUCCUGGAUUUUUCCCUCUUUUUUUGGAGUCAGAUUUUCCCUCUUUUCUCAUUUGGAUUUUCCCUCUUUUUGUGGGCGGGAAUUGCCCAAGUUUUCCCACUGGAUUUUCCCUCUGUUUUAAUUGGAUUUUCCCAUUUUUUUGGGUUGGAUUUCCCUCAUUUUCCCACUUUUUGGGGUUGGAUUUUCCCUCUUUUUUAGGCUGGAAUUUCCCAAGUUUUCCCCCUGGAUUUUUCCCUCAUUUUGAGUUGGAUUUUCCCCAGUUUUCCUUCGGGAAUGUUUCAAAUAAAUAAAUUUGUUCCUCUCUCUGGAAUUGCUGGAUUUUUCCUUG
Molecule: long non-coding RNA, 486 nt
Filed under: Junco hyemalis (dark-eyed junco)
Lineage: Eukaryota; Metazoa; Chordata; Aves; Passeriformes; Passerellidae
Description: lncRNA (ENSJHYG00000008255.1)
Source: RNAcentral